AACGAUGCCUAGGGGAUCCCCGACAGGGGGCUGAGAGGCUGGCGACGCUCACAAGAAGCGGCCCGGCGACCCUUCGAACCUGAUCCAGCUCGCACUGGCGUAGGGAUGGUGAGAUUCAUGUUU
RNAcentral lists this non-coding RNA (123 nucleotides) under Methylocella silvestris. RNAcentral's name for it is "TPP sequence". It matches the Rfam family "TPP riboswitch aptamer (THI element)". Rfam says of the family: Vitamin B(1) in its active form thiamin pyrophosphate (TPP) is an essential coenzyme that is synthesised by coupling of pyrimidine and thiazole moieties in bacteria. The previously detected thiamin-regulatory element, thi box was extended, resulting in a new, highly conserved RNA secondary structure, the THI element, which is widely distributed in eubacteria and also occurs in some archaea. Lineage: Bacteria; Pseudomonadati; Pseudomonadota; Alphaproteobacteria; Hyphomicrobiales; Beijerinckiaceae. RNAcentral also lists the same sequence under 1 other name. The record is from RNAcentral.